GAUGAACGCUGGCGGCGUGCCUAAUACAUGCAAGUCGAGCGAACGGACGAGAAGCUUGCUUCUCUGAUGUUAGCGGCGGACGGGUGAGUAACACGUGGAUAACCUACCUAUAAGACUGGGAUAACUUCGGGAAACCGGAGCUAAUACCGGAUAAUACUUUGAACCGCAUGGUUCAAAAGUGAAAGACGGUCUUGCUGUCACUUAUAGAUGGAUCCGCGCUGCAUUAGCUAGUUGGUAAGGUAACGGCUUACCAAGGCAACGAUGCAUAGCCGACCUGAGAGGGUGAUCGGCCACACUGGAACUGAGACACGGUCCAGACUCCUACGGGAGGCAGCAGUAGGGAAUCUUCCGCAAUGGGCGAAAGCCUGACGGAGCAACGCCGCGUGAGUGAUGAAGGUCUUCGGAUCGUAAAACUCUGUUAUUAGGGAAGAACAUAUGUGUAAGUAACUGUGCACAUCUUGACGGUACCUAAUCAGAAAGCCACGGCUAACUACGUGCCAGCAGCCGCGGUAAUACGUAGGUGGCAAGCGUUAUCCGGAAUUAUUGGGCGUAAAGCGCGCGUAGGCGGUUUUUUAAGUCUGAUGUGAAAGCCCACGGCUCAACCGUGGAGGGUCAUUGGAAACUGGAAAACUUGAGUGCAGAAGAGGAAAGUGGAAUUCCAUGUGUAGCGGUGAAAUGCGCAGAGAUAUGGAGGAACACCAGUGGCGAAGGCGACUUUCUGGUCUGUAACUGACGCUGAUGUGCGAAAGCGUGGGGAUCAAACAGGAUUAGAUACCCUGGUAGUCCACGCCGUAAACGAUGAGUGCUAAGUGUUAGGGGGUUUCCGCCCCUUAGUGCUGCAGCUAACGCAUUAAGCACUCCGCCUGGGGAGUACGACCGCAAGGUUGAAACUCAAAGGAAUUGACGGGGACCCGCACAAGCGGUGGAGCAUGUGGUUUAAUUCGAAGCAACGCGAAGAACCUUACCAAAUCUUGACAUCCUUUGACAACUCUAGAGAUAGAGCCUUCCCCUUCGGGGGACAAAGUGACAGGUGGUGCAUGGUUGUCGUCAGCUCGUGUCGUGAGAUGUUGGGUUAAGUCCCGCAACGAGCGCAACCCUUAAGCUUAGUUGCCAUCAUUAAGUUGGGCACUCUAAGUUGACUGCCGGUGACAAACCGGAGGAAGGUGGGGAUGACGUCAAAUCAUCAUGCCCCUUAUGAUUUGGGCUACACACGUGCUACAAUGGACAAUACAAAGGGCAGCGAAACCGCGAGGUCAAGCAAAUCCCAUAAAGUUGUUCUCAGUUCGGAUUGUAGUCUGCAACUCGACUACAUGAAGCUGGAAUCGCUAGUAAUCGUAGAUCAGCAUGCUACGGUGAAUACGAUCGCGGGUCU
Molecule: ribosomal RNA, 1372 nt
Filed under: uncultured bacterium
Lineage: Bacteria
Description: bacterial SSU rRNA
Rfam family: Bacterial small subunit ribosomal RNA
Source: RNAcentral